Molecule: ribosomal RNA, 454 nt
Filed under: uncultured Leptolinea sp.
Lineage: Bacteria; Bacillati; Chloroflexota; Anaerolineae; Anaerolineales; Anaerolineaceae
Description: bacterial SSU rRNA
Rfam family: Bacterial small subunit ribosomal RNA
Source: RNAcentral
CGGGCCCGCACAAGCAGCGGAGCGUGUGGUUUAAUUCGAUGUUACACGAAGAACCUUACCAGGGUUUGACAUGCAAGUGGUAGGAAGCCGAAAGGUCGACCGACCCUUCGGGGAGCUUGCACAGGUGCUGCAUGGCUGUCGUCAGCUCGUGUCGUGAGAUGUUCGGUUAAGUCCGCUAACGAGCGCAACCCUCGCUGUGUGUUAUAUGUGUCACACGGGACUGCCGGUCUUAAGCCGGAGGAAGGUGGGGAUGAUGUCAAGUCAGCAUGGCCUUUAUAUCCUGGGCUACACACACGCUACAAUGGCCAACACAAUAGGUUGCUAAGCCGCGAGGUGGCGCCAAUCCAUAAAGUUGGUCUCAGUUCAGAUUGUAGGCUGCAACCCGCCUGCAUGAAGAUGGAGUUGCUAGUAACCGCAGGUCAGCUAUACUGCGGUGAAUACGUUCCCGGGGCUU